GAAAUGGGAAAGAAUAACAAUGGACUUUGUGAUGUAACUUUCAAGAACACAGAAGAAUCAUGAUGUAGUAUGGGUUAUCAUGGACAGAUUGACCAAGUCUGCUCACUUUUUGCAAGUACAGAUGGACUACAGUCUGGACAGAUUGGCUAAACUGUAUAUCGAUGAGAUUGUGAGACUUCAUGGGGUGCCAGUAUCGAUUGUGUCAGACAGAGAUCCAAGGUUCACUUCUAGAUUCUAGGGU
Molecule: unclassified non-coding RNA, 241 nt
Filed under: Hevea brasiliensis (rubber tree)
Lineage: Eukaryota; Viridiplantae; Streptophyta; Magnoliopsida; Malpighiales; Euphorbiaceae
Source: RNAcentral